CUGGUUGGUGGGGUAAUGGCCUACCAAGGCGACGAUCGGUUGCUGGUCUGAGAGGACGAUCAGCCACACUGGGAUUGAGAACGGCCCAGACUCCUACGGGGGGCAGCAGUGAGGAAUUUUCCGCAAUGGGGGCAACCCUGACGGAGCAACGCCGCGUGCAGGAGGACGCUUUUCGGAGUGUAAACUGCUUUUCUGUGGGACGAGGAUGGACGGUACCACAGGAAGAAGCCCCGGCUAACUACGUGCCAGCAGCCGCGGUAAUACGUAGGGGGCGAGCGUUGUCCGGAGUUACUGGGCGUAAAGGGCAUGCAGGCGGUCGGACGCGUUUUGUGUGACAGCGGAUGGCUUAACUAUCCGAGGAUACGAAAGACGGUUUGACUUGAGGGCUCGAGAGGGACACGGAAUUCCGGGUGGAGUGGUGAAAUGCGUAGAGAUCCGGAGGAACACCAAAGGCGAAGGCAGUGUCCUGGCGAGUACCUGACGCUGAGGUGCGAAAGCUAGGGGAGCAAACGGGAUUAGAUACCCCGGUAGUCCUAGCCGUAAACGAUGACCACUAGGCGUGGGGGGUAUCGACCCCUUCCGUGCCGUAGCUAACGUGAUAAGUGGUCCGCCUGGGGAGUACGGUCGCAAGAUUAAAACUCAAAGGAAUUGACG
Molecule: ribosomal RNA, 654 nt
Filed under: uncultured bacterium
Lineage: Bacteria
Description: SSU rRNA
Rfam family: Bacterial small subunit ribosomal RNA
Source: RNAcentral